GACGAACGCUGGCGGCGUGCUUAACACAUGCAAGUCGAACGGAAAGGCCUGCUUUCCCUUGUGGAUUGCGGGUGCUCGAGUGGCGAACGGGUGAGUAACACGUGAGUGAUCUGCCCCCAACUUGGGUAUAAGCCUGGGAAACUGGGUCUAAUUCCCGAUAGGACUGCAGGGUGGUGCCUGUGGUGGAAAACGAUUUUCUAGUGGUUGGGGAUGAGCUCGCGGCCUAUCAGCUUGUUGGUGGGGUAAUGGCCUACCAAGGCGGCGACGGGUAGCCGGCCUGAGAGGGUGGACGGCCACAUUGGGACUGAGAUACGGCCCAGACUCCUACGGGAGGCAGCAGUGGGGAAUAUUGCACAAUGGGCGGAAGCCUGAUGCAGCGACGCCGCGUGGGGGAUGACGGCCUUCGGGUUGUAAACUCCUUUCGACCGCGAGGAAGCCACCUGGUUGGAAGGGUGGUGACGGUAGUGGUAGAGGAAGCACCGGCUAACUACGUG
This 494-nucleotide ribosomal RNA is filed under the name uncultured bacterium. Its description in RNAcentral is "partial 16S ribosomal RNA". It matches the Rfam family "Bacterial small subunit ribosomal RNA", at positions 28 to 507 of the family's 1533-position model. The record is from RNAcentral.